This 284-nucleotide unclassified non-coding RNA is filed under the name uncultured Helvellosebacina. RNAcentral's name for it is "sequence contains 5.8S rRNA gene". Lineage: Eukaryota; Fungi; Basidiomycota; Agaricomycetes; Sebacinales; Sebacinaceae. The record is from RNAcentral.
GAACGCACCUUGCGCCCUUUGGCUAUUCUGAAGGGCAUGCCUGUUUGAGUGUCAUUAUACUCUCACACUCUCUAAUUAGUUAGAGAGCGGUGGAUUUGGAUGCUGCCUGGUACUUACUGUCAGGCUCAUCUUAAAUAAAUUAGUGCGACUCUUAGUUAAACAUAGUACGGCGUGAUAAGUAACCCUCGCUGUUUUCUGUCUGAUUAGGAGCUGUGCUUCAAACCGUCUCAGGACAAUAUUUGAUAACUUGACCUCAAAUCGAGUAGGAUUACCCGCUGAACUUA